CGGUGGAGAGUAGAGCGGCGCACGGGUGAGUAACACGUGAGUAAUCUGCCCUUGGGAUUGGGAUAACAGUUCGAAAGGACUGCUAAUACCGGAUAAGCCCACACCACUGCGGUGGAGUGGGAAAAGUGGGGGAGCCUUCGGGUCCUCAUGCCCUUGGAUGAGCUCGCGGUCCAUUAGGUAGUUGGUGGGGUAACGGCCCACCAAGCCGAAGAUGGAUAGCUGGUUUGAGAGGACGAUCAGCCACACUGGCACUGAGACACGGGCCAGACUCCUACGGGAGGCAGCAGUGGGGAAUCUUGCGCAAUGGGCGAAAGCCUGACGCAGCCAUGCCGCGUGAGUGACGAAGGCCUUCGGGUUGUAAAGCUCUGUCUGAGGGGACGAACGUCCCGGGUGCGAAUAGUUCCCGGGAGUGACGGUACCCUCAAAGAAAGCACCGGCUAACUCCGUGCCAGCAGCCGCGGCAAUACGGAGGGUGCGAGCGUUGUUCGGAAUUACUGGGCGUAAAGCGCGUGUAGGUGGUGUCGUAAGUCGGGUGUGAAAUCCCUGGGCUCAACCCAGGAACUGCGCUCGAAACUGCAGCACUAGAGUACGGGAGAGGGGAGUGGAAUUCCUGGUGUAGAGGUGAAAUUCGUAGAUAUCAGGAGGAACACCCGCGGCGAAGGCGACUCCCUGGACCGAUACUGACACUGAGACGCGAAAGCAUGGGGAGCAAACAGGAUUAGAUACCCUGGUAGUCCAUGCCGUAAACGAUGGGCACUAGAUGCUGCAGGUAUGACUCCCGCAGUGUCGUAGCUAACGUGUUAAGU
Molecule: ribosomal RNA, 806 nt
Filed under: uncultured bacterium
Lineage: Bacteria
Description: bacterial SSU rRNA
Rfam family: Bacterial small subunit ribosomal RNA
Source: RNAcentral